GGGGAGGAGAGGCGGAGCCAAAGGCCGAGCAAGAGCGCGAAGACUCAAACGCAGCUUCUUUCCCUGAGCUUUUGGCGCUUUCCGGAGCCCGGUCGUUCAUCUUAGCCAAGGCGGGAGGCGGCUAUCAUGACGGCGGCGGCGGGAGAGUUGGAUGCCCAGGAUGUGAAAACUCAAAAUACGUCUGACAGUGAUUCAGACAGUGGACAAGGCAGCUGUGAAGUGAGCUUCUGGUCCCAGAUAAGCAAGGGAGUUGCAUCUGUUGAUGAAGGAGAUUCAGAUGAAGAGAUUUGCACGCGUAAGAGAAUCAAAUGCAGGAGGGUGCUUGCUGACAGCAAUAGUGAAGGAGAAGAUGGCACCCCUGAGGAACUGAAGGUGGCAGCUGGCGAUGCAGAAAGCGCAAAGGAAAAGUAUAGCUGGCUAGCAGUACAGGAAAACAAAGGGGUGAAGAGUAAUGACAGCGAUACUGAGAACCUGUUGCCACAGCUUCAGCUGGGGAACCCCGAGAGGGAGGACAAGAGCUGGAACAGGAAAGAAAUGAAAGAGAAAAGCAGUUCAAGGAAAAGGAAGAGGAAGGAAGAGAAGAAGAGCACAAGGCCAGCAAGAAAGAAGGAAAAGGCACAGGAACAAAAGGUAUGAUGGGAAGUAAGACAAUGGGCUGAGGACGCUGGCAUCAUUUCGUAGUAU
Molecule: long non-coding RNA, 684 nt
Organism: Naja naja (Indian cobra)
Lineage: Eukaryota; Metazoa; Chordata; Lepidosauria; Squamata; Elapidae
Source: Ensembl